This 440-nucleotide ribosomal RNA is filed under the name uncultured bacterium. RNAcentral's name for it is "partial 16S ribosomal RNA". It matches the Rfam family "Bacterial small subunit ribosomal RNA", at positions 338 to 795 of the family's 1533-position model. The record is from RNAcentral.
CCUACGGGAGGCAGCAGUGGGGAAUAUUGCACAAUGGGGGAAACCCUGAUGCAGCGACGCCGCGUGAGUGAAGAAGUAUCUCGGUACGUAAAGCUCUAUCAGCAGGGAAGAUAAUGACGGUACCUGACCAAGAAGCCCCGGCUAACUACGUGCCAGCAGCCGCGGUAAUACGUAGGGGGCAAGCGUUAUCCGGAUGUACUGGGUGUAAAGGGAGCGUAGACGGCAGCGCAAGUCUGGAGGGAAAUGCCGGGGCCCAACCCCGGAACUGCUCUGGAAACUGUGAAGCUGGAGUGCAGGAGAGGUAAGCGGAAUUCCUGGUGUAGCGGUGAAAUGCGUAGAUAUCAGGAGGAACACCGGCGGCGAAGGCGGCUUACUGGACUGUAACUGACGUUGAGGCUCGAAGGCGUGGGGAGCAAACAGGAUUAGAUACCCUUGUAGUC